RNAcentral lists this ribosomal RNA (177 nucleotides) under Dyschoriste albiflora. RNAcentral's name for it is "5.8S ribosomal RNA". The stretch from base 9 to 164 matches the Rfam family "5.8S ribosomal RNA". From Rfam's summary of the family: 5.8S ribosomal RNA (5.8S rRNA) is a component of the large subunit of the eukaryotic ribosome. It is transcribed by RNA polymerase I as part of the 45S precursor that also contains 18S and 28S rRNA. Lineage: Eukaryota; Viridiplantae; Streptophyta; Magnoliopsida; Lamiales; Acanthaceae. The record is from RNAcentral.
GUCAAAAUGACUCUCGGCAAUGGAUAUCUCGGCUCUCGCAUCGAUGAAGAACGUAGCGAAAUGCGAUACUUGGUGUGAAUUGCAGAAUCCCGUGAACCAUCGAGUCUUUGAACGCAAGCUGCGCCCAAAGCCUUCGGGCCGAGGGCGCGCCUGCCUGGGCAUCACAUAUCACGUCGC